Molecule: non-coding RNA, 267 nt
Organism: Vicia faba (fava bean)
Lineage: Eukaryota; Viridiplantae; Streptophyta; Magnoliopsida; Fabales; Fabaceae
Source: the annotation of a GenBank genome assembly
AUGUUAAUGAUAACCAGUAUAACAGAAUUGCGAGUGCAUGACGCUGCUCAGAACCGUUUGGCUACCCUCACAGCUCACUUGCUUCUGUCUUCUUCAACCACCGCCGAGGGACUCAUCCAGCCUCUCCAUCCUUCGGCGUCCUCCGGGAUCUCUCCGCCGCCGAAUGCUAAAGGGAGUCUCAUGUUUUUGGCAGCAUUGCAACAGGGUUUUGGACUAUUGGAGCAGGGUUGUUUUUUGGCAGUAGCAAUGGACAACAACAAGGCUUAA